Molecule: ribosomal RNA, 89 nt
Filed under: Bacillus licheniformis
Lineage: Bacteria; Bacillati; Bacillota; Bacilli; Caryophanales; Bacillaceae
Also listed under: 2 other names
Source: RNAcentral
CCCGUUCCCAUGCCGAACACGGAAGUUAAGCUCUUCAGCGCCGAUGGUAGUUGGGGGCUUCCCCCUGUGAGAGUAGGACGCCGCCAAGC